CUGCCUUGCCAUUGAGCCUGCGGGCAAGACGGGGCCGGGUGGGGUCUCAUGCCCGCCCUGUGCAGUGCAGACCGCCCCCCCAGUGGAUCAGGAGGGGGUCCUUCCCUGCACCCCAAACCCCUAACUCGGAGGGGGCGAGGGGGCUGGCCGUGCCUACCUCCCUCACGCACGGAGCCCCAGCCCGUGAUGACACAGCGUGCGCCGUCGGGAGGCCGAGGCCCUGGUUCGGGCAGACAGAUGGGCCGCACGAGGCGGCUGCGGAGCACAGGUCCCGCCAGCUCGAGCAGCGCCACGUCGUAGUCAAGGGUGUAGACAUUGUAGAAGGGGUGCUUGUGGAUGCGCACCACACGCUCCAGCUGCCCGUCUGCGCCGCUCAGGAACGGAGUACCCAGGAAGGCUGCCCACUGCUUGGGGUCCCCAUAGCUGUGGGACAUAGGAGACAGGCAUCUGCCCAGAUCCCUGGCCCCCCUGCACCCUGCCCAGCAGAGCUGUGUCAGCGGCCAGCCGAUGACCUUGCACUGGGCAAUUGGCCUCUUUCCAUCACUGCUUCCCUUUUUCUUAGAACAGUGGGGAGGACAAGGAGGGGCACACCCAGAUGUGCCCAGCCAGCCACCAUGCACUGUGGGAACACUACAGUCUGUGUCCAUUCCUACUUAACAGUAGGGCUCUGGUGGCCAGAGGACCCCAUUCACCCUUCCCACCUGUUCUGGCCUGUUCCUCCCACUGUGUUCCCUCCACCAGUGGGGCUCUGGCCUUCAAGGCAGAGACAAUUAUCAGGGUAGGUGGGCUGGGGAUGGCAGUACCCUCGGUCCCAGAGUCUCUGGCAGGCCUGGCCCAGGGCCCCUAGGUUGGAUGCCCGCAUGACCAGACUCGGGUGGUGGGUGGGCAGGGGGUGUUGCAGGGAGGAGGGGAUGGCCUGGGGCAGCAGGUGCUGGUAUGGGAGAGGUGCAGAGGUGCCCCCACUGAGUUUCUGAGCGCAACUCACACAUCGAAGCAGUGCGCAGCUGACAGCAGCCACCUCUCAGCCACCAGCACGGCUCCACAGCGGUGUUCCCGCCGCCGCAGCCACAGGCUCACCUGCCACGGCCACUCCCCUCGGCCAGCGGCACUGCCACCCACAAUCCUGGUCAGUGCUGCGGCUGGUGCCAGGCCGCAGUCUGUGGGAGAGGCGAGUACCAGGUCAGGUCGGAGGGCAGAUGGACCAUGUAUCUUCUGCACAAACCCUGCGUGGGGGCACCCUGGAGGAGCAGGGAGUGGAGUGGGGGACCCACCUUGGAAAAACACCUCAGGAAGGGACACAGGGCCUGGUCCUACAAACUUCCUUUGGGCUUUUCUCAAUACUCAAAAUGUGUUUAAGCUGGUUUCUAGUGCCCUGAGCUUUGGGGCCACACCUCCCGAGCCGGAGGCCAGACCAGCAUCCCCUGCUGCCCCCAAGCCUUUGCACACCCCAGCUGCUCUUCCUGGGUACCCUUUCUGGUGUUCUUUACCUGGUCCCUCUGUGACCCAGUGUCCUUGCCAGGAUACUCCCUCCAGGCUGUGACCUCCCCUCCCCCCAACACAUGUUGCUUAAGCCCCCCAGACUGUGGGAUGCUGCAGCGGCAGACCUUGCAGGUGAACACAGGACCUGUCCCCCCACCUCCCACAUGUCACUCCAUUUCUCCAGUUACCUGGCAGCUGGAUGCCCAUGGUGGGCUUUGGGACAUGUGGAAGUGGUGUCUCUCCCCUAGCAGUGGUGGUCAUGGCUGUGGCAGUCCUGUUGGCAGGUUGGCUGGUCACCCUGCUGGUGGCCAGAGGUGUGGGUCUACUGGCUGUGAUCCCUGGGACUGUGGGGCCAGCUGUUGUUCUGGUGGCAAGACUGCUGGCGAGUGUCCGAGUGGUGGCGAGUGGUGGCGUGGGGUGGGAGGACAUAGUGUCCACGAUCCAGCCCUUCAGCCUGGUGAUUCGAGUGUACACGCCUGGCUUCUUGGCUUGAGCGCAGCCGAUGCCCCAGCUCACAAUCCCCGCCAAAUAGAACACGCCGGGGGUCUCUUCACAGGCCAGGGGGCCCCCAGAGUCACCCUGAGAAGGAGGGACAGAGGGCACUGCUAGGCCCUCCUCUGCUCCCACCAGUGGGAGAGACCCCUCAGAGGAGCCUGGCUGGGGAACUUUGUGUGACCUUGCGUAAGUCACUCCUCUUAGGUGUGUAUUGGAAAUAAAACAAAAACCCAGAAAGCCCUAAAGAAAAAAAUUACCUUCAUGGAUAGUCCAGGCUUUUCUGUGCAGAAGAAUUCCUUUUUGUUUUUUUCUUUUCUUUUUUUUUUUUUUUUUUUAGGGCUGCACCCAUGGUAUUCGGAGGUUCCCAGGCUAGGGGUCCAAUCGGAGCUGUUGCAGCUGGCCUAUGCCACAGCCAUAGCAACGCCAGGUCCUACCUGCGUCUGCGACCCACACCACAGCUCACAUCAACAGAGGAUCUUCAACCCACUGAGUGAGGGCAGGGAUCGAACCUGCAACCUCAUCGUUCCUAGUCAGAUUUGUUAACCAUUGUGCCACGAUGGGAACUCCAUGUACAGCGGAAUUUCUUUACUAUUUUUUAGAGUAUUACCAUAAAACUGCUGUGACUUUGAACAAUGAGGCCUUGAUGCUCCUUCUGUUGAGUGGUGGGGGUCUGUCCCUCCCCUUGAACCCAGGCAGACCUCUGUGACUUCCUUCACCCUCAGACUUUGGGGGCAGUGAUUCCAGGCAACUUCCAGAGUCAGGUCUUAAAAGUGCCACCUGCUUCCCUCUUGCUUUCUUGGGGUGCACUUGUUCUUGGGUGUAGGCUGCCAUGUUGUCAGGAAGCUCAAGAGCCCUGGUGGAGGCCACUCAGGGGAGCCACCAUGUGGGGUAUAGGUGAGAUCCCAGUUGGCAUCUGGCUUCAGACUUGCGACUAGAAAUGCCUCCAGAUUGUCUCAGCCACCAGCCACCAGCCACGAGUAGCUUCAGCCUCUGGACCUGCCCAGCCAAGGCCUUAAAUGUCAGGUGGCUCAGAGGGGCCAGCCCUGCUGCGUCCUGUCUGAAUUCCCAGCCCAUGAACUCUGCGACCUCAUGAAAUGGCUGUUGUUCACCAAGCUUUGGGAGUUAGUUUGUUACAAGGCUGUAGGGACUGAAACAGCCCUGCUGCUAAUCCCAAAGCCUCACUUUGCUUUACAUGUAUCUGUAGAAAAUUUGUAGUGUUGGAGUUCCCAUUGUGGUUCAGAGGUAACAAACUCAAUGUGUAGCCAUGAGGACGCAAGUUCAGUCCCUGGCCUUGCUCACUGAGUUAAGAAUCUGGCGUUGCUGUGGCUCUGGUGUAGGCUGGUAGCUGUAGCUCCAAUUCAACCCCUAGCCUGGGAACUUCCAUAGGCCACAGGUAUGCUCCUAAAAAAAGCAAAAAAAAAAGGGGGGGGGAUAUUUGUUUUUACCAUUAUAUAAUAAGCAUGUCACAUGUGAGAUCUUACAGUUUGCAGCAUUCAUCCAGCAGUUAUCUUCAAGGUAACCUUGAUAGAUUGCUGUGAAUCCCAUUUAACACAAGAAUCUGAGGCCCAGAGAGGUUGAGCAACUUGCCUGGGGUCACACAGCUAUUAAGAAAUUGAGCCAGGAUUUGAUGAGUCCAGGAUUCUGGUUUCAGAAGCUCUAGUGGUUAGGUUCCCAUAAGAGAUAUUUACCAGUCUUUAAACCACUGCCUAUGAAUGGACAUGUAUGUUGUAAUCAAUAUUGGACAUGUAUGUUGUAAUCAAUAUUAGCAACAGUGAUACUUUGAGCGUUACCAUUGAAGUCUGAUGCCAUUUGGAGUUUCAAUCCUUUUUGUCCUCCUGCCCCACUAUGGAAACGGCCAGCAUCACGUCUUCAUCUAUAGGCAGAAGUUUCGGGUGAUGUCUUGUUUCUGUCAAGCACUCAAAGGGCCUCUUCCCUCUGGCAGGUCCUCUUAUCUCUGAUAAUCUCAGCUCUGCCUUCCUCCUUCUGUAGUCCUUUCUCAUUUCUUAGUUUUCUUCUGCUUUCUGAGAAAUUUUACCUUCAUCUCUCUUUUUAAGGGCUUUUUCCCCACAGAAAUGGUUUCUAAGCCACUGAAAAACCCCUUCCAGCACCCUGUUCUUUCUUCGCAGAGGCAGUGUCUUUUCUCACCUCUCUGAUGUUAAUCAUUAUACUCUCAGACCAUUUCCAGAGGUCUCUGCUCAACAGUUCAUGUUUGUUUGGAUGCUCCCCCAUCAAGCAGCAGAGGCCAUGUUUCCCACCUGUGGAUGUGGGUGGGCUGAGGUGCCUGGAUGUAACUCCCCAGGCAGUGUCAUGAACAUGGUACGGCUUCAGCCAGUUGGCUCGGGAUCCACAUGCUUGGUGCCACCGCCAUGCUGUGAGGAAGCCCAAGCAGCCAGUAGGAGACCUAAGGCCUGGAGUCUACAGCCUACAGCCCUGACGGGCUGAACUCCCAGCUUGGUGAAUGCACCAUUGUGAAAGUGGAUUCUCCAGCCCCACCAAGCAUUUCCCAAGUGCAGGUUCAUGAACCAAAUAAACAACUGUUGUUUUAAGCCACUAA
Sus scrofa (pig) is the source of this 4528-nucleotide non-coding RNA. The record is from RefSeq and is a predicted model, not a curated record. Lineage: Eukaryota; Metazoa; Chordata; Mammalia; Artiodactyla; Suidae.